CUACUAGUUGCUGAAAAACAAAACAACGAGGAAAACAGAUGAUGCAGAAUGAAGUUUGACUUGGAAAACAACCACCAAUCAAAUGGAUAAUGAGAACACGACUCUGAAAACUGGAUAUCUAUUGAAAUUUGAGCCAAACAAAAGAUGGAAAAUCCGAUGGUUGGUACUUCAUGAAGAUCAACUCACUUGUCAUCAUCGACGUGACAAGGCAGUUAUAGUCACCUUAAUUUCAUUACAAGGAGCAUCAGUUAUCUGCCCCUGUCUAGAUGACCCUGUAGCUGAUGCUCAGGGAGUGUUCAAGAUUGUUCUGCCGGAGGGAGAAGAGAUAUACCUGCAGGCUGCUGGAAGGAAGGACCGUGAAGGAUGGGCUCAUGCCAUUGGGGCUGUAAUACGCUCCAUCUCUGGCUCAAAACAGGUUUCCAAUGGCAGUGUACCAUUUCCAGCCUUCAGAGCUAAAGUCAAUGUAAGUGAGAUUCUGGGAGCUAUACAGGACCCUGAUGCUGGAGUGAUGCUGGCUAACCAUGUCAGGAACGGAGCUGUACAUAAAAACUGCUUCAAGGGUAGUGAUGUGGUUGAUUGGCUGAUCCGUUGGUCAAUAGUUAGAAAACGAGAUGCUGGAUCAGCCAUGGUCCAAACUGUGCUCAAGUUAGGACACGUCCAGGAGGUUGAUAUCAAUGAUGGUGCUGCAGGGGCCUCGGCAAAAUUCAGGGACGAUGAUAAACUGUACAGAUUUACGUCACUGAAUUUGGACGGCAAGAGGAACAGUUACUAUGACAGUACAGACAGCGACUCGGAAUCUUCUGAUGAGGAGGAGGAGAAUGUUGACAUCGACGUCAAGCUCAGGAAGGGCAAAAUUCUCAGGGAAAGGUUCUUAUUGAAGAGGAGACACAUAGCCAAGGACUGGAGAGUGGUACGGGUCGUGUUGAGGGAAAAACCCAGUACCAUUGAGUACAGUCGAGCUGUCGCACAGGCUAGUGGUGUGGUUUUAAUGUCCAAGUUCAUUAAUCUUGCAACGUAUGAUGUCCAAAUGUCCAGAAAAGACAGCUUUUCUUCUGGUGGUGCAGGUAAAGGGAAGGUGAAGAAGAAAAUCUGCCUGAAGGCCAAAAGUGGUAAAGGUCGUUGUCACAUCUUCAAGGUCAAGGACGAGGAGGAAUGGUACGAGUGGAACUCCGUCCUCCAGCAGCUCACUGGUCAGAAACAAGUUACCCUCUAGCUCAUUGAGGAACGACAAAAGCAGAAUUUUUAUAACACAAUCUCUCAUUGGUAACACUGUAGCUGAUUGGUCAGUUAGUUGGUACACAGUAGCGGAUUGGUCAGUUAGUUGGUACACAGUGGCUGAUUAAUUACUCUAUACCAGGAAAUUUUUGCUGAGUCAAAUAUUUUUCCUUUACAGAUGAAAUCCAUAUUGGCCUGGUGUUAAUUUCACCCUUUAAAUUACAUGUACUUGGUAUGCUAUAUGUUUAAUAAUCACAGAGACUUUGUGAUAUAAAUUCAACCUAAUUACAGCGGUUAAAUAUGGCUGAAGUUACACUGCAGUGGAGAUUUCCUCGUAUACAGUAGUUACUUGGUACACUGUAGCCGAUUGGUCAGUUAAUAGUACGUUGUAGCUGAUUGGUCCGUUAUUUGGGUACACACUCUGAUGAAUUGGUCUGUAGAUUAAGUGAAAAGAGGUUGAUUUGGUGCAAUUUUACAAUAUGUGAUUAAUAAAAAAUGUGUGACUUUGUACAAGUGUAGCUGAUACUGAUUGGUUAAUUGGUGAAUUCUAAGGUUCAUUGAUGUGUCAUCAGCUGUACUUGUUACACAGUUGCUGAUUGGUUAAUAUGAUAUGUUAUAAUCUAACUGAUUGGUUAUCUUAUGUUUACAUGUAUAAAUGUCAAAAGUGGUGCAAAUUAUAACUGGUUUCUUUCUGCAACGGAUUGAUCAGAAAUUUCUUUUAUGCAGUUCUUUUUUUCGUGACACUGGUGAUAAUUGCAAUACCAAUAGUUUUAAAGUUGUAUACAACGUAGGGUUAAUAAAUAUGUCUUAACAGGCCAGUAGGUGAAAAAACAUGAUGGGAACAGAUAUGGUGGUUCAUUUAGUGAUAUGACUCUAUCUUGUUGUCCCGUCGUAGACUAGUCCACAUGUGUGUGACAUGUUACACAUGUGUAGCCUAAUAUACAUAUAUGUGUUAGCAGGUUACACAUGUAAUAUUGUCCGAUCAGCAAAUUUCUAAAACAAAGUUAUUUUAAUAAAACCAUGAUGUACAUGGUAUUAUCAAUACUAAUAAGUAGUUGUUUUUAUCAAUGCUAAAUCUAACAUAUACGAUGUAUCUCACUGCACCAGUACUGGUAUAAAGUUGUCGUUUAGUUGUCGGUGAUAACACAUAAACAGUACAGGCUUCAUGUUUUCUUUAUCUAGACAUUAUCACCUAAAUAUUUCACAGCAUCAUGAGAAAUCAAAAUCCUGUUUAAAAGAAGAUGGCUUAUAUUUUUACCAGAUUAACAAAGGAUAUUUCCAAAUGAACAUUUUCUGAAAAUGGGGUACGAUUAAAACCAAACCAUUUUACCUUGCAUAUAUUUAAACUUACUUGAUAAGUUAUAAAAUUCUUAUUUCUACUGCAUCGAUACAUUCUGUUUUCUUCUUUGUGUAAAUACACAAUGCUCUCUCUAUAUACAUCAGGGUCCAACUCGGGUUAACACCAGUAAGACAUACAUGUAUGAUAUUCACAAAUCACGGAUCCUGUUAAGUUCAGACAUACAUGUAUGAUAUUCACAAAUCACGGAUCCUGUUAAGUUCAGACAUACAUGUAUGAUAUUCACAAAUCACGGAUCCUGUUAAGUUCAGACAUACAUGUAUGAUAUUCACAAAUCACGGAUCCUGUUAAGUUCAGACAUACAUGUAUGAUAUUCACAAAUCACGGAUCCUGUUAAGUUCAGACAUACAUGUAUGAUAUUCACAAAUCACGGAUCCUGUUAAGUUCAGACAUACAUGUAUGAUAUUCACAAAUCACGGAUCCUGUUAAGUUCAGACAUACAUGUAUGAUAUUCACAAAUCACGGAUCCUGUUAAGUUCAGACAUACAUGUAUGAUAUUCACAAAUCACGGAUCCUGUUAAGUUCAGACAUACAUGUAUGAUAUUCACAAAUCACGGAUCCUGUUAAGUUCAGACAUACAUGUAUGAUAUUCACAAAUCACGGAUCCUGUUAAGUUCAGACAUACAUGUAUGAUAUUCACAAAUCACGGAUCCUGUUAAGUUCAGACAUACAUGUAUGAUAUUCACAAAUCACGGAUCCUGUUAAGUUCAGACAUACAUGUAUGAUAUUCACAAAUCACGGAUCCUGUUAAGUUCAGACAUACAUGUAUAAUAUUCACAAAUCACGGAUCCUGUUAAGUUCAGACAUACAUGUAUGAUAUUCACAAAUCACGGAUCCUGUUAAGUUCAGACUACACAGUUGUUGGACUGUCAAUUCUAUAUAUCUGUUACAUGUACACGUCAGCAAUCCAUGUUCAGAAGUUUAGAGUGCAAUUGGAAUGGAAAGGAUAAAUUGAUGACAAUAUCAGUGUGGAGAUAUUUACAAAAGCUUUGUAUUUUAAACAAAAACUACUACUUCCUAUUUUAAACUGAUAUUUUUGCAGUCUAUGGUACAUGGAUAUAAAUAUACCCUUGUAAUAAAAUUCGUUUUCAUGAUUCAUACAAAUUACUAUUACUUGUUGAUAAUAAACAAAUAUAUCAUCUGAGAUCCUUUAUUAGGGUAUUAUCUGUGUGAAGUAGCCAUUGUUCUCCUUCAUUUGUCAUUCUGUCUGUUUUUGAUCAUCAGAUCAUAGUCAUAACAUCACCAAAGAACUUGCCAUAUAAAUAAAUAAAUUUUUAAAUCUAAACCAUAUAAAAUUUUGUGAUAAUAUGUUAUCCAACCACAUGCCGAAGGUUGAUAUUAUGUACAGAUUCAUCAAAGAUCUUCCUUAUAUCUAAAUACUUUGUGCAUAAUGAAACAUUUUAUAUGUAAUAAUUUAAAUGUGCCAUAUUUAUAAACCGUUAAAGAAAGUAAAAGUUGUAUUUUGUUUGCAACCUAUUUAUGUACAGUAAAACCUGAUACUGCUCGGACUUGUCAGCAACAUUUUAAUAUGUAACGGCGUUCAGCAAAGUAUCGAGGAUUACCUCUAAAGGAAUUGUUAGGACAAAGAGGACCUUGAAAUACAUUGACAAUUAGUGAGAUACAGAAUAGUGAGGUUUAACCCUUUCACCCCUAUGUAAAUUGAGUAGACCCUACCAUGCAUUGAUAUGGAUGAGUCCAUUAUGGUCCAUAGUGGUGAAAGGGUUAACUGUAGAUGGUACUGGUGAUUAACCAUAGGUUUGGUAGAGUUAUCUCCCUUCCACCAGGAAACGUCUUUAAUGAUGUCUGUUUUAAAAGAAUUUACUAUUUCUUUUUAAUAAUAAUAUGCAAAAAAUAUUUAUAGACAAAAGUUUUAUGGACAAUUUCCUUAAGAAAAAUACUACAGUAUAUAUAUCGGCUAUUAAAUAGGUUCCUUAUUUGAUUGUUUUAAAUUAAAUUAAUGAAAAAAAACAUGAUGUUUAAAUUAGUUUUAAUGUAAAUGUAUCCAGGUUUUCUAAAACAUUAUGAAGGAGGAUAUUGAUCUAUUGAUGUUAUCAUAGGAGUUAAAAUACCAUGUAUUUGACAUUGUCUAUCAUUGCCAGUCAUAAGGCAGCAUAUAUCAAUAUAAUCUCCUAUGCACCAGCUGUUGUCUCCCCUUACCAGGUUUUCAGUCUUUUUUAUUCAUUCCAUGUUGUGAUGAACAGUUAUUCAGAAUGUGUCACAGUGUCGUAAAUCACAACUUCCAACAGUGGUUACAUGCCAUGCAUAGAUAUCUUUUGUGCUCUGAAAUGUUACAUUGUACUUGGUAUUUUUUUUGUCUUUUUUAACAUUUUUGCUUAAAAUAUUUAUUAUUUUUGUGAAUUAGAUUUCAUAAUUAUUCAAAUAUUUGAUUCCCCCUCCCCCAAUCUAUCCAUUUAAUCUAGUCUUGAUGGUGUAUUUUGAUACAGAUGCUAUAUACUUGUAAAACUGUGAUGAAUAGGUAACAAUGGGUAACAAUGUUGUCAAGUGUUCACUGUAUAGAUACCAUGACAGCAGUGAACCCUGUGGACCUUUUUAUUUUCAUAGUAUAACUUCCAAAUAUACACCAAUAAAUAAUGUUUUAUAUAAACCAUAAAACCGCUGACACUGUCUUAUUUUGAAUUUCUCCUUUAAAUAUUGAAGUGAAAGUCAACAACAGGCCCUGCAGACCUUUUCCUUAGUGUAUGAACACACUAAAUUAACACCAGUGACAGUUACGCUAAUGUUUGUCACUUUAAUGAAACUCUUGUAGGAGAUGUAUACAAGUAAAGGAGCGUUGUCGACUGGGAUUGCCUUUCCUCCGUUUGUUGCGAGUUGUCUGUCAUAUACGUGUUGUCCAUAAGCAGUUAUAUUUUCAACUUCUCUCCAGAAACUGUCAGAAUUUGAUGAAACUAUAUGGUAAUCUAUAUACUCUAGAAGGGGUUGACUUCUGUAGAAGGCUGAGGGGCAGGGCCAUUGCUUAAAUAAUCAGGGGUCACAGAGUGAGUGCAAAAUGUUCAAAUGGCAUCUUUUCUGAAACUUCUUCGUUAAUUUUCAUCAUAUUCAAUAAUCCUUAGAUGAUGAGGAUAAAAUUGAUAAUCAAAAACGCUUUUACCCUGCACUACCUUCAAAUUGCAUCUCCAGUGGCUCAUAUUGUUGGAGUUUGACCACUGUUAAAAUAAUCCUUAGAUGAUGAGGAUCAGAAUAUCAAGUCAGGAAGGGGCUACCUCCAGAGGGGCUCAUUGGGGUCACUAAUAGCGAAAACCUCAAAUGACACUCUUCUCUAAGUUACUUGUAGAUUUAGACUAUGCCCAAAAUUAGGGGACACUUCCCCCACUUAGCUUUACUCACAUAAAGUAAGAUUCCACUCAAUAUUCAUACUUUCAAUCAGGUGACCAUUAGGGCCCAUGGGCCUCAUGUUUUUUCUUAUGAUAUAUUUCAGAAUAUGCUAUAAUAUGUACUAAAUCCC
RNAcentral lists this unclassified non-coding RNA (6035 nucleotides) under Mizuhopecten yessoensis (Yesso scallop). Its description in RNAcentral is "pleckstrin-like, transcript variant X1". Lineage: Eukaryota; Metazoa; Mollusca; Bivalvia; Pectinida; Pectinidae. The record is from RNAcentral.